CAGCUGGUAGUGUAGUGGUUUAUGCUGCAGUCUUUGGAUCUGAAGGUUAUCAGUUCCAAUCUCACCUCCAGCUGU
Molecule: transfer RNA, 75 nt
Filed under: Scleropages formosus (Asian bonytongue)
Lineage: Eukaryota; Metazoa; Chordata; Actinopteri; Osteoglossiformes; Osteoglossidae
Description: tRNA-Gln
Source: RNAcentral